CGAGUUGUCUGGUGAAUUCCGUUAACGAACGAGACCACAGCCUACUAAAUAGUACGUGUUAUGGUAACAUAGUAUGAGACUUCUUAGAGGGACAUGUCGGGGUUACCGAAAGGAAGUUUGUGGCAAUAACAGGUCUGCGAUGCCCUUAGAUGUUCUGGGCCGCACGCGCGCUACACUGACGACUUCAACAAGUUUUUUGGCAUUGCCAAAUUUCCUUGGCCAGAAGGUCUGGGUAAUCUUUUAAAAGGUCGUCGUGAUGGGGCUAGAUUCUUGCAAUUAUUAAUCUCCAACGAGGAACC
This 299-nucleotide ribosomal RNA is filed under the name Thraustochytriidae sp. Its description in RNAcentral is "Thraustochytriaceae sp. partial small subunit ribosomal RNA". It matches the Rfam family "Eukaryotic small subunit ribosomal RNA", at positions 1307 to 1610 of the family's 1831-position model. Lineage: Eukaryota; Bigyra; Thraustochytrida; Thraustochytriidae. The record is from RNAcentral.